RNAcentral lists this ribosomal RNA (216 nucleotides) under Glomeromycotina sp. RNAcentral's name for it is "partial small subunit ribosomal RNA". The stretch from base 40 to 216 matches the Rfam family "Eukaryotic small subunit ribosomal RNA", at positions 686 to 864 of the family's 1831-position model. Lineage: Eukaryota; Fungi; Glomeromycota. The record is from RNAcentral.
GGGUCAGUAGGUUGGUCGUGCCACCGGUACGUACUGGUCUCACUGAUUCCUCCUUCCUGAAGAACCGUAAUGCCAUUAAUUUGGUGUUGCGGGGAAACAGGACUGUUACUCUGAAAAAAUUAGAGUGUUUAAAGCAGGCUAACGCUUGAAUACAUUAGCAUGGAAUAAUGAAAUAGGACGAUCGAUCCUAUUUUGUUGGUUUCUAGGAUUGACGUA